Dreissena polymorpha is the source of this 2775-nucleotide long non-coding RNA. RefSeq lists it as uncharacterized. The transcript is spliced from 2 exons. NCBI's taxonomy places the organism in Eukaryota, Metazoa, Mollusca, Bivalvia, Myida, Dreissenidae. The record is from RefSeq and is a predicted model, not a curated record.
UUUUGAGUGGUGAAAGGUCCAGGUCAUAAUUCAAUGUCAUAGGUCGAAUAUAUGGCUUCAAAGCGGCGCAGUAAGGGGGAUUGUGUUUUUACGAACACAGCUCUUGUUGUUAACUGCCUUUUUUAGUCCUUACCAGUGUUUCACUAAAGUCCGUGUACUUUGGACUCAUUUCAAGUUGACAUUUGAAGCUUUAACUUUGUAUGAUUCUAAAUAUGUGUCAAUGCUGUCGGUUGAAUUUUGAAAUAUGAAGUUUUUCAUUUUUUGUAGAUUAAAUAAUUUGUAAAAUGUUGCAGUUUAGUCAAUCAGUUUUAUAAGAUAUUGAGCUUUAGUUAUGAUGCAGAUUGUAAGAUUCUUAAUAUCUUUCAAUAUUGUGGAUAAGUUUUGAGAUAUCAAGCUUUGAAUUUUAUGCAAAUUGUAUGAUUUAAAAUGUUUUAAUUUGUUGAUCAGUGUACUGAAGAUUGUAUACUUUUUAUAUGUUAUAAUUCUGUCUAUUGGUUUUCAAAAUGAAAGACUUUGAUUUUGUAAGUGCACUUUAUCUCAUUAUGCCCCCCUUCGAAGAAGAGGGGGUAUAUUGCUUUGCUCAUGUCGGUCGGUCUGUCGGUAUGUCAGUUUGUCGGUCCGUCCACCAGGUGGUUGUCAGACGAUAACUCAAGAACGCUUGGGCCUAGGAUCAUGAAACUCCAUAGGUACAUUGAUCAUGACUCGCAGAUGACCCCUAUUGAUUUUGAGGUCACUAGGUCAAAGGUCAAGGUCACGGUGACCCGAAAUAGUAAAAUGGUUUUCAGAUGAUAACUCAAGAACGCAUAUGCCUAGGAUCAUGAAACUUCACAGGUAGAUUGAUCAUGACUCACAGAUGACCCUUAUUGAUUUUGAGGUCACAAGGUCAAGGUCACGGUGACCCGAAAUAGUAAAAUGAUUUUCGGAUGAUAACUCAAGAACGCUUUUGCCUAGGAUCAUGACACUUCAUAGGUACAUUGAUCGUGACUCACAGAUGACCCCUAUUGAUUUUCAGGUCACUAGGUCAAAGGUCAAGGUCACAGUGACAAAAAACGUAUUCACACAAUGGCUGCCACUACAACGGACAGCCCAUAUGGGGGGCAUGCUUGUUUUACAAACAGCCCUUGUUAAAGAUUCUUUUCUAGUGUUUAGUUUAUAUUUUAAGGCUGUUUGCAAACUCGAAGUGAAAACAGCUCUAGUACAAUUUGGUAAGGACAUGACAUUGCAUAUCUGAUUUAAAAAUGUACUUUGCUGGCAACGUGUAAUUUUCAGAAAUGUCUUAGUAAGUAAGACUGUUGUUUGCAAUCAAAAGGUCUGUGCUUCAAAUCCAGGAAAAUGCAUGUUUUUUGUCCAAAUUUAUGUCAAUUCAGACAUUGUUCUGUGUAAAUAUGGGGUUUGCUUGUAGGAUCAGUCCUAUUUUUAUGUCCCCCACUAUAGUAGUGGGGGACAUGUUGUUUUUGCUCUGUCGGUCUGUUGAUUGGUUGGUUGGUCUGUUUAUGCCAACUUUAACAUUUUGCAAUAUUGAAAGUAGCAACUUGAUAUUUGGCAUGCAAAUGCAUCUCCUGAAGCUGCACAUUAUCAUUGGUGAAAGGUCAAGGUCAUCCUUCAAGGUCAGAGGUCAAAUAUAUGUGGCCAAAAUCGCUCAUUUUAUGAAUUCUUUUGCAAUAUUGAAGAUAGCAACUUGAUAUUUGCCAAGCAUGUGUAUCUCAUUGAGCUGCACAUUUUGAGUGGUGAAAGGUCAAGGUCAUCCUUCAAGGUCAGAGGUCAAAUAUAUGUGGCCCAAAUCGCUUAUUUUAUUAAUACUUUUGCAAUAUUGAAGAUAGCAACUUGAAAUUUGGCAUGCAUGUGUAUCUCAUGGAGCUGCAAAUUUUGAGUGUUGAAAGGUCAAAGUCAUCCUUCAAGGUCAGAGGUUAAAUAUAUGUGGCCCAAAUCGCUUAUUUUAUGAAUACGUUUGCACUAUUGAAGAUAGCAACUUGAUAUUUGGCAUGCAUAUGUAUCUCAUAGAGCUGCACAUUUUGAGUGGUGAAAGGUCAAGGUCAUCCUUCAAGGUCAAAUAUAUGGGUCAAAAUUGCUCAUGUUAUGUUACUUCUGCAAUAUUGAAGCUAGCAAUUUUAUAUUUGACAUGCAUGUGUAUCUCAUGGAGCUGCACAUUUUGAGUGGUGAAGGGUCAAGGUCAUCCUUCAAGGUCAAACGUUAUAUACGGGGCAUUGGGUUUCACAAACGCAUCUUGUUGUGUAUGUAAUUAAUUUUGCUUAAUUUUUGUGAUCCCCCGCCAACAGCGGAGGGAUAUUAAUUUGGCAUUGUCCGUCUUUCCGUCUGUCCGUCCGGCACUUUUGUGUCCGGAACCAUAUCUUGGAAGUGCUUUAGCAGAUUUCAUUGAAACUUGGUACGAGUAUAUAUAUAUGGAUAAGAGGAUGAUGCACGCCAAAUGGCAUUGUACAUCCUUGAUUAAUAGCGGAGUUAUGACCCUUUGUAUUUGAAAAAAAUGCUUUUUUUGUGUGUCCAGAGCCAUAACUUGUAUCCAGAAGUAUAAUGGCGGGGGAUAUCAAUUCAACGAAUUUGCUUGUUAAAUCAGUUUUUAUUUUCAUGAUAAUCAUUUAGUUCGUACUGCAACUUAUGAUGGAUUGUUACUACUAUCUCCAAUUAUUUGUUUGUCAUGGGUCCGUCACCAUUUAUCUCUUAUAUAAUACUUGAAUUGAGCAUUUCACAAUCUGACAAUCAUGCAUAUCAUUUAUUAGUUUCAUAAUAAAACGUCUGACAAGGGUCAGAUAAUUUUAA